This 894-nucleotide long non-coding RNA is filed under the name Populus tremula. Its description in RNAcentral is "long non-coding RNA (PTRE_LNC002916)". The record is from RNAcentral. Lineage: Eukaryota; Viridiplantae; Streptophyta; Magnoliopsida; Malpighiales; Salicaceae.
UCGUGAAUGCUAGUCUUGUCCAAACACAUCAACAUGCCAUUUAUAAAUCCCAAUGCUUAUCUUAUAAUUGCUCCAUCUCCCAUCCAGCUCUUCCAAAAAUGAAUCUUCUUGAGCCACCGACAACCAUUCAAAACCCUAACCGGAAAGCUUUUUAAGUGUGAUGAGCUCAGAUCAAAACAGUAAAAAUUAAGCUAAUAAUUAAAGAGCUAUAAGAAAUCACCUGCACAAAAUGAAGCAAGCCCCUACAAUAGUAAACAAUCUAGCGCUAGAAGUAAUAAAUAAAAAAAACUCAAACCAUCUACAGGUGUAAUUUAAUGAUAAAAAUUUAAGAUUAAAGAAUUUGUUUUUCAAAUGAUUUCAGGUUUGAGUCUUGUGAUUUCUAAUAUAAUAAUUAUUAGAGAUUUAUAUGGUUAUUAACUUUAUGAUUUGUGAGAUUAAUUAAAAUACAUACAAGCUGAUUUGAACACCUAUAUUAAUAAAAAUAAUAAAAAAAAACAAGAAAGAAAACUCAACAGUGACAGUACACAAAUCCAAAGGAUCGAGAGCCCUUAAUUUAAAAUUUUGAUUCCAUGCAGGCUCAAUGCAAUCUAAGGCACAUAUUGAGUAACAGACAGAAUCUGUUUAAUUUUAUAAACGUCAAAGUAUACAAAGACAGAACAACAAGUUAAGAGAUUAAAAGAAAACAAAUCUGUACCCAAAAUGGAGCUGAUGAUGAGAAUCCUGAUUACUGUAAAUCUGAUAGAUUGAUAGUAUCCUCCACAUUUCUAAAAAAAGGUCUUGUUGUCUCCUUCGUCUGAUCCUGGCUGCCUUCCGGCGACAUGGAACUCGAACUCCUUCGCAUUCAUUUCUCUCUUCCAAAACCUGUGGGCUGUGGCCGUAAAACCCUGCAAAAAA